UGAUCCGUUCUCACUAGUGAUUUCUGUUUGAUCCUGGCGGAGGCUACUGCUAUUGGGAUUCGAUUAAGCCAUGCAAGUUGAAUGAAUUUAGAUUCAUGGCGUACGGCUCAGUAACACGUGGAUAACUUACCCUUAGGACUGGGAUAACUCUGGGAAACUGGGGAUAAUACCGGAUAUUAGGCUAUGUCUGCAAUGGUUUGCCUUUGAAAUGUUUUUUUUCGCCUAAGGAUAGAUCUGCGGCUGAUUAGGUCGUUGGUGGGGUAAUGGCCCACCAAGCCGAUGAUCGGUACGGGUUGUGAGAGCAAGGGCCCGGAGAUGGAACCUGAGACAAGGUUCCAGACCCUACGGGGUGCAGCAGGCGCGAAACCUCCGCAAUGUACGAAAGUGCGACGGGGGGAUCCCAAGUGUUAUGCUUAAAGGUAUGACUUUUCAUUAGUGUAAAAAGCUUUUAGAAUAAGAGCUGGGCAAGACCGGUGCCAGCCGCCGCGGUAACACCGGCAGCUCGAGUGGUAGCUGUUUUUAUUGGGCCUAAAGCGUUCGUAGCCGGUUUAAUAAGUCUUUGGUGAAAGCUUGUAGCUUAAACUAUAGAAAUGCUGGAGAUACUAUUAGACUUUGAGUCGGNAGAGGUAGAGGUACUACCGGGGUAGGGGUGAAANNUCUAUAUCCUGNNGAGACACCUGUGGCGAAGCGUCUACUGGAACGAUCUGGNNCGUGAGUACGAAGCAGGGNCGCGACCCGAUAGAUACCGGGUAGUCUGGCGUAACGAGUGGACUGGGUUGAAUGCUUUANUGUUCGGUGCCAGGGGACUGUAAUCACCCCGGAAUCGUCCAGAUUGACUUAGAUGCGGGGAACAAACCUGAACGGGUUAUGAU
This 872-nucleotide ribosomal RNA is filed under the name uncultured rumen archaeon. RNAcentral describes it as "bacterial SSU rRNA". It matches the Rfam family "Archaeal small subunit ribosomal RNA". The record is from RNAcentral.